This 4298-nucleotide long non-coding RNA is filed under the name Homo sapiens (human). RNAcentral describes it as "non-protein coding lnc-DNAJB6-8:1". Lineage: Eukaryota; Metazoa; Chordata; Mammalia; Primates; Hominidae. The record is from RNAcentral.
UUUACUGCUAGGCAGCCAGUACAGGAGGAUGGUCAGUGCGGCAAGAUGGACCCUUCCAAGGUUGGACCCUUCCAUGGCACAAAACCUGGAACUCCUUGGUACAGAGAGGCCAGACACACGUCAACCUCACGUCCAGUUCCUGUUGAGCCAAAGCUCAUGAGAACUUUUUUGUUUUGAUGGCUGUUGCUGCUGGAACAGCAGCUGUCCCGUGUCACCUCCUCUCUCGACAGCCUCGCAACACAUGCCGAAUGCUGUUGUGAACAAGCAGAAGGAAAGACAGACAUGUGCACAAAUGGAAAGAGCCAGUGGAUCGAGUUCCUAGGACUUGAGAUGUGGCUGCAUCUGGAGGUGUUGCAGGAAACGCCAGUGGACCUUUGGGGGCCCAGAAGUGACCCCGCCCAUGCAAGGCCGGCAUGGACGAGGCCGGUCAGAGCAGAGCAAUCGGUGUGCGGCUCACAUUAAACCAGGCCCUCCCCGUGCUCCUCUCAGGAACACCGAAGACCUGAGGAGGCCCGGGUGGCCCAGAGUCAGGUGGUCCCCAGGCCUUUCUCUCCGGCCGCAACCUGAGUGCACACCACAUUCCUCGCCCAGCGAAUCAGGAGAGAAGCUUUAAAAUUCCCGAGGUUCCUCAAUUUCCUUUCCCUGUGGUUCUGUGGCUUCAUGGGGUGGCAACUGUGAAGCCAGUGGGGGCUCAGGCUCCAGGAGGAUCAUCCCAGCAGGGUAGCAGGUGCCUGCGAAGCACCUCCAAGUCACACCAUUAAACAAAAGCCAUUAAAAGAAUAUUAGUAUUAAAGUAUUAAAACUAUCUGUCACAAUGAAAGAAUCCAUUUGAAGUUAAAGAAAACCAAGCAAAUAUGCCACCGGUGUCUCUUUCCAAGGCUUGUUUGAUUUCUCCUGGACUCUGGCUCUUGGCUGACCGAGCUGUGUGAUUCAGCUCAUGGCCCUAGACCACAUCCUCCCAGUAAACAGUGAACACGGACGGAUGGGGUGUGCCGGGAGGGCCAUCGUCGCCGUCUCCUGACCGUCAUUCUUCCGCAUGGCUUCCGGCAGCCUGUUCAUGGAUAAUGACUGCAUGAGCGCAGGUAAGUUUUAUUACAAUUUUACUCAGAGGUUUUGCAAACUGCAGGGAUGCAAUGUAUUCUUUUUUUCUUGAAAGUAAAAACGACAAUGUGUGCCAAGUGUUCAAGAGAGAGAGGCCUUUACUUGCAGGAGAAAAUUUUCUCAACUCUACCCUCUGGAAGAACUGAAGAAAAGCUUGGUCCUAACUAAAUGCAUUCAAAUACAUGACGAAUGGUGAUUAUUAAGAAUCCAGAUAAGGAACGAAGUGGAACAGUUCCCGUGCCCCAGGAGCGCAGAGCUCCUCACUCACCCAGGCUGCGAUGUUUCUGCUUUGUCUGGAGCUCACGCUGUGGGAGGACUGGGCUCUGAAGGGCACAGACACCCCAUCUUUCUAGCUCUCCAUGUCAGCCGAGGUGACCCCAGAACUGGACUGGGUGCAGAGGUCAAGCUAGAGCCCCUCACGUCUGGCAGAGCAAAACUCGGCUCAAGGUAACUGUGGUUGGGGAUGCUCUGGGUGCCCCACACGGUUCAAGCCCUCCCCAGACCUGGGUCUCAGGGAUGCCACUUGGCACUGACUACACACUACACGCAUGCAGAUACAUGUACAUGGGUACACAGGCAUGCACACACCACACAACACUCACCCACACUCACAUCAUACAUAUGCACAUGCACACACACAGAGGCAUGCACACACCCAAACAACACACACACCCACACUCACACUCACGUCAUACAUAUGCACAUGUGCACACACACAGGCAUGCACACACCACACAACACUCACCCACACUCACAUCAUACAUACGCACAUGCACACACACACAGGCAUGCACACAUCACACAACACUCACACCCACACUCAUGUCAUACAUACACAGAUGCACACACAUACACACACAGGCAUGCACACACCACACAACACUCGCAUCCACCCUCACGUCAUACAUAUGUACAUGCACACACAUACACAUUCAUGCACACAUCCAAACACACACACCCCACACAUCAUACAUAUGCACAUGCACACACACACAUUCACACAAACAUGCACACCCCACACUCACAUGUCACAUACACACAUGCCCACACACAUAUACACAUGUGUGCACAUGCCCACACUACACUCACACCCCACACUCAUACAUAUGCACAUGCACACACACAUGCACACGCCCACAACAUGCACAUCCCACACUCAUGUCAUACAUAUGCACACACAAAUAUACACACAGCCAUGCACACACUCACACAACAUACAUAUCCAUGCUCACAUGUCAUACAUAUGCAUGCACACACAUAUACACAGGAAUGCACAUGCCCACAUGACAUGCACACCCUACGCUCAUGUCAUAUGCACACACAUGCACACACAAUGUCAUACAUAUGCACAUGCAUGCACACACAUAUAUACAGGCAUGCACACAUCCACACAAGAUGCACACCCCACACUCAUGUAUCAUACAUACACACACACACACAGAUAUACACACAGGCAUGCACAUGCUCACACAACAUGCACACCCACACUCAUAUAUACUCACAUGCAUGCACACAUAUAUACACAGGCAUGCACACACCACACAACACACACACCCCACUUACAUAGGUCAUACAUAUGCACACACACACACAGGCAUGCACACACCACACAACACUCACAUCCUACAUCACAUGUGCACACAAACACCCACACUUCACACUCUCACACAAUACACCCCACAUCACACAUGCACAUCCUUUAUACCUACAUUCAGGAUCACACACAUACAUCAUACACAUGCAUACACACAGAACACUCACAGCUCACACUGCACACAAACAUUCCACACCCAUAUCACACACUCAUACACCACACACAUGCACACACCUAUGUGCAUGCACACACAGGUACACACGGCAUGCAUAGGCCCACACAACACCCACACCCAUCACACACACUCCCACACACACACACACACACACUCUCCUGGGCCUUCAGUGCUGAGUUUUUACUUCACACCUUUCCUGGAUGAUCUUAACUAAAGACUUAUGAAAAUUAUAAGCAGGUUUUUUUUUGCUGACCUUCUAGAUAAAUUAUAUUGUCUAUGUUGUAACAUAUUGCUGGGAUCAAAGGAGGCAAAUCUGCAUCUUAUUCACUUGAAAAUCAAGUAGAUCAGAAUCAUAACAAACUAGCUAUUUCUUAUGUUUUUUUUUCCUUUGAACAAAUUCUAAAUCCUUCUUUUGGAGAAACUGAAAUGCCUCCAGAUCCUUAUUAAAAAUAUAAGUUAAAGAAAAUGUAGAAGUGUAUGAAUGAGUACUGUCAUUUUAAAGUCACCAUCCCCAAUACUCCAGGAGGACAGGGAAUUGUGCAAAAUAUCCUGGUAAGUUUCUAUCGACUGCUGGACCAUCCCAUAAUACUGUUGAGGUGCUGGCAGCAUCAACGCGGAGACACCGGACCUCUGCACCCCUGUGCAGGCGAGCACAGCUUCACAAUUCAAGGGGGGAUUGUUAAAAGGGAAAGACGAAUACGAUGGCUCCACAAUUCCGAGUCCUAUCUGUGUGUGAACACGUGCACAUUGGUGCGACGCGGUGCCCACCGCAGUUUGCUGCCAUCCCACCUACCUGCCCUGCACAACCAGUGCCAGGGCACCGGGGCAGGACCGAGAUGCAAACGCAGCGUCUGUGCUGACAGAAGAGGUUUGGGAGCAGCACGAGAGCCCCAAGGCAGGGGACUGCUGAGGUACAUCCUGGAGCAUCCGUGUGAUGGGGCACACGCAGUCAUUCCCAGAUCAGUGCAGAGCACACACACCCACAUGGGGGCCUCCACGAUGUGGCUAGGUCCUCAACACCUAUGUCAGAAUCAACAAGCAUGUGCGGUCAAUGGCGUUCAGGAGGCCGUCUGCAGCUGAGUAACAAUCACACCAAAUUGUGAAUAUUGAACAGGUGGAGGAGAACAGGAGCUGGGCUCACCCAGGGCAAACCUUCUCAUGCUGCCUGGAACACGCACACACCACUUGCACCUUUUACCCAAAAGGUGCUCAUGCACUGGUCCAGCGGGGAUGCGUGAAGCAUGCAGCCAGCUCCCCUCCCAGGCCGCACUGACUGCUGGUACUGCUGCUUCCGGGGGCCUGGCCUUUACGGGGGUCUGGCAGGAUCCCUCCUGCAGGUGCACAGCCCAGGCUCUCCUCCCCCUUGCUCCUGUAGGGCCGGCAGCUGCCUCGGUCCCUCUGAGUCUAUUUUGGGUUCAGAAAGUGCCU